GUACCAGGCCGUCCGCUGUGAUGCUGGUGAUGACCGCCCACUGGAAGGUGCCCAGGAUCAGCAUGGCCAGGACGAUGAUGAUGCCGAUCUCACCGGGCUUGUCCCCUGCAAGGCCACAAAAACAAGCUCAGUGUACGGCCUGCCUCACAGUCUACCCCAGCUGCACGGAGCCUAAACUCUUCCUAUUCCCAGCCAAUAUGGAGACCACAGUUUCUCACAAAGCAAAGCUAAAUAACCUCCCACCCCUACAGUCCUCAGUCUGCAGACUUUUCAUCAUUCUGUUACACAGAACCGGGGGGCACGGGUCCUUACUGUUGGUCCCCACGGCGAUGAAGGCGGUGGCGGUGAAGAAGAGGACGAAGAGGAUGUCGAUGCGGAAGAGGAACCAGCGGAGCGUGGACAGCAUCGCACAAUUACCUCAAUCACAAAGACCACAGCGAUGAAGAUGAGGGUAAAAACAAGGUUCCUGUUGGUGGACACGUAUCUGAAUUUAUUAGUUCUACCCUUAGAUGCGCCUCUACAAUGCCAGUUAAACCCCUCGACCUCUGGCUGCCUGUCGCUAAGCGGACACGCCCACCUCCAUGUCCUCCUCCUCCACCUCCUCGCUGAUGUCGUAGACGCUGUCGUUGGAGAGGCGGCGGGCGUAGACGUCC
Anguilla anguilla (European eel) is the source of this 653-nucleotide long non-coding RNA. RefSeq lists it as uncharacterized. The record is from RefSeq and is a predicted model, not a curated record. NCBI's taxonomy places the organism in Eukaryota, Metazoa, Chordata, Actinopteri, Anguilliformes, Anguillidae. The transcript is spliced from 3 exons.